GGGUUCGUAGCUCAGUUGGUAGAGCACCGGCCUUUUAAGCCGGGUGUCGGGGGUUCGAGUCCCCUCGGACUCG
RNAcentral lists this transfer RNA (73 nucleotides) under Microcaldota archaeon. RNAcentral's name for it is "tRNA-Lys". It matches the Rfam family "tRNA". Rfam says of the family: Transfer RNA (tRNA) molecules are approximately 80 nucleotides in length. Their secondary structure includes four short double-helical elements and three loops (D, anti-codon, and T loops). Further hydrogen bonds mediate the characteristic L-shaped molecular structure. tRNAs have two regions of fundamental functional importance: the anti-codon, which is responsible for specific mRNA codon recognition, and the 3' end, to which the tRNAs corresponding amino acid is attached (by aminoacyl-tRNA synthetases). tRNAs cope with the degeneracy of the genetic code in two manners: having more than one tRNA (with a specific anti-codon) for a particular amino acid; and 'wobble' base-pairing, i.e. permitting non-standard base-pairing at the 3rd anti-codon position. The record is from RNAcentral. Lineage: Archaea; Nanobdellati; Microcaldota.